Molecule: ribosomal RNA, 235 nt
Filed under: uncultured Candidatus Saccharibacteria bacterium
Lineage: Bacteria; Candidatus Saccharimonadota
Description: partial 16S ribosomal RNA
Rfam family: Bacterial small subunit ribosomal RNA
Source: RNAcentral
UAAGUAGGUAGUGAAAUCCUGGGGCUCAACCCUUUAAACAUUAUUUAAACUGCUAACCUAGAAUAUAGAAGAGGUCGCUGGAAUUCCUUGUGUAGGAGUGAAAUCCGUAGAUAUAAGGAGGAACACCGAUGGCGUAGGCAGGCGACUGGUCUAUUAUUGACACUAAGGCACGAAAGCGUGGGUAGCAAACGGGAUUAGAUACCCCGGUAGUCCACGCCGUAAACUAUGGAUGCUA